Molecule: non-coding RNA, 112 nt
Organism: Acanthosepion pharaonis
Lineage: Eukaryota; Metazoa; Mollusca; Cephalopoda; Sepiida; Sepiidae
Source: the annotation of a GenBank genome assembly
UUAUGGCCAUAUCACAUCGAAACACAGGUUCCUGUACGAUGACAAAAGUUAAGCAACGUCGAGCCUGGUCAGUACCUAGAUGGGUGACAGCUUGGGAAUGCCAGCUACUGUC